UACGUAGGGGGCAAGCGUUGUCCGGAAUCAUUGGGCGUAAAGCGCGCGUAGGCGGCCCGGUAAGUCCGCUCUGAAAGUCCAGGGCUCAACCCUGGAAAGCGGGUGGAUACUGCCGGGCUAGAAUCCGGAAGAGGCGAGUGGAAUUCCUGGUGUAGGCGGUGGAAUGCGCAGAUAUCAGGAGGAACACCAAUAGCGAAGGCAGCUCGCUGGGACGGUAUUGACGCUAAGGCGCGAAAGCGUGGGGAGCAAACAGG
This 254-nucleotide ribosomal RNA is filed under the name uncultured bacterium. RNAcentral describes it as "partial 16S ribosomal RNA". It matches the Rfam family "Bacterial small subunit ribosomal RNA", at positions 524 to 776 of the family's 1533-position model. The record is from RNAcentral.